UGAACAAUGGCACAAAGUCUACAUUCAAAGAAAAAAAUAGCAAAGUAUAAAAUCCUGGAACUGACAGAAUCUGACUCUGUAAGGACUUGGAUCAGGCAUGAGAGAAACAAGAAAAAGAGAGCAGGGCAUGCACUGAAAUAUACAUUAUAAGAGUCAUGGUCUCUGAGAGCUCCAGGGAGGGAGAUUCUUGCAUACUUCAGCACCUUGCCUGCAUAUAGGAGCAAAGAAGAGAGGUAGAAUGACAGGGUGGUGUGACCCGCCUAUAUCUACGCAGAGAUUGUGAACAGUCCACUUAUUCCUCUGGAUUUGCUGUGGCCAGGUUAGUAGGAGGAAGCUUGAAUUUAGCAGUACUGCACUUU
This 359-nucleotide long non-coding RNA is filed under the name Struthio camelus australis. RNAcentral describes it as "lncRNA (ENSSCUG00000008602.1)". The record is from RNAcentral. Lineage: Eukaryota; Metazoa; Chordata; Aves; Struthioniformes; Struthionidae.